Molecule: ribosomal RNA, 274 nt
Filed under: uncultured bacterium
Lineage: Bacteria
Description: partial 16S ribosomal RNA
Rfam family: Archaeal small subunit ribosomal RNA
Source: RNAcentral
AAACCAGCACCUCAAGUGGUCAGGAGGAUUAUUGGGCCUAAAGCAUCCGUAGCCUGUUCUAUAAGUUUCCGGCUAAAUCCAUUAGCUCAACUAAUGGGCUGCCGGAAAUACUGUAGAACUAGGGAGUGGGAGAGGUAGACGGUAUUCGGUAGGAAGGGGUAAAAUCCUUUGAUCUAUUGAGGACCACCUGUGGCGAAGGCGGUCUACCAGAACACGUUCGACGGUGAGGGAUGAAAGCUGGGGGAGCAAACCGGAUUAGAAACCCGAGUAGUCC